Molecule: unclassified non-coding RNA, 378 nt
Filed under: uncultured Chlamydiales bacterium
Lineage: Bacteria; Pseudomonadati; Chlamydiota; Chlamydiia; Chlamydiales
Description: contains 16S-23S intergenic spacer region
Source: RNAcentral
UCCUGGUUAACCCAGGCAGUCUCAUUAGAGUUCCCACCAUUACGUGUUGGCAACUAAUGACAAGGGUUGCGCUCGUUGCGGGACUUAACCCAACACCUCACGGCACGAGCUGACGACAGCCAUGCAGCACCUGUGCAAAGGCUCCGAAGAGAGGCAUCGUUUCUGAUGCUGUCCUUUGCAUGUCAAGCCUAGGUAAGGUUCUUCGCGUUGCAUCGAAUUAAACCACAUGCUCCACUGCUUGUGCGGGUCCCCGUCAAUUCUUUUGAGUUUCAGCCUUGCGACUGUACUCCUCAGGCGGUAUACUUAACGCGUUUGCUACGGCACAGCCGGGGUUGAGUCCAGCUACACCUAGUAUACAUGGUUUAGGGCAAGGACUAC